UGGGGAAUAUUGGACAAUGGGCGAAAGCCUGAUCCAGCCAUGCCGCGUGUGUGAAGAAGGCCUUUUGGUUGUAAAGCACUUUAAGCGAGGAGGAGGCUACUUAGAUUAAUACUCUAGGAUAGUGGACGUUACUCGCAGAAUAAGCACCGGCUAACUCUGUGCCAGCAGCCGCGGUAAUACAGAGGGUGCGAGCGUUAAUCGGAUUUACUGGGCGUAAAGCGUGCGUAGGCGGCUUUUUAAGUCGGAUGUGAAAUCCCUGAGCUUAACUUAGGAAUUGCAUUCCAUACUGGGAAGCUAGAGUAUGGGAGAGGAUGGUAGAAUUCCAGGUGUAGCGGUGAAAUGCGUAGAGAUCUGGAGGAAUACCGAUGGCGAAGGCAGCCAUCUGGCCUAAUACUGACGCUGAGGUACGAAAGCAUGGGGAGCAAACAGG
Molecule: ribosomal RNA, 430 nt
Filed under: Acidobacteriota bacterium
Lineage: Bacteria; Pseudomonadati; Acidobacteriota
Description: Acidobacteria bacterium partial 16S ribosomal RNA
Rfam family: Bacterial small subunit ribosomal RNA
Source: RNAcentral